GCAAUAUAGACCUCAGAGCAGCCCCGCCCCCCUAGAUACACUGUGCAAUGCAGAGACAGCACAUACUUCUGUAUCUUGGUUUCUAUGUAUUCCUUGUCUUUAGCGGAGAAGUGAAGCAUGGACACAGAUACUCCAGAGCUUGAGUUAGGUCACCGGCAAGAUACAGACAUGGCUGACAUCUCUAAGAAGAGCCGCCUCGAACUAGAGGACUGACUGUCAAAGAAGCUUCAAAACCAGGCCCAUACUCGACUGUAUUAAAGCACCACCUGGUAUUGUUCAGUGCACACUGAAGAGCUGAUGGUGUCCUGUCUAACAAAGGUGUUGCAAUUACGAGUGUGAUAACUAAGCUAACUGUAUAUGCAGGUGGCCCAUUAAUUUUGAUGACUCUGUCUGUGCACCCACAUACAAUGUCCUAUUAAGAGGAGUGUUAUCACUAAGAUAUCAUAUCAUUGUUUACCAGCGUACUUUGAGGGAAACCCAGGAAAAUUGUCCUCUUUGCUAUAUCUUUAGGUUGAAUUCUAUUUUGAGAGAUGCCGAUUUGCCUGAAGAUAAAUUCCUGCAUGCAGCAGAAAAUGCCUGAAGAUGCCAACGAAUGUUUGAAUGGAUGCCAAUUAGCCAAAGAUUGCCAGCAGAAGAUGACAACGAAUGCCGAGUGAGAAGAGACAGAGACACUUGAAGAAGGGGAAGAAACACUACCAUGCUGAUGAGGGGACAAGAUAAGUUAUUAUAGGAGAGGAGCCUAACUGAUAGCUUGCAUGAUGAUCUUCAAGGAAAGCUAGCGCUUUAGUGCAAGGCUAACUUGAAUAAAAACUUUGUACAAACAGAUGAUGCUCUGAAGGGACUGCAACAGCCUUCACUGUGAUUAACACGGCACUGAGGAGAGGGUGUGGUUAUGAGAGGAAGUGAGAUGACAAGUCAUGUGACAGACCGAGCGAACGUGUGCCUCCAGUUAAAAGUAAACUAAUCCACCCACGUAACAGUGACACUAAAAAAUAAUUAUAGCGUGUAUUAAUACAUACAUUCAUGCAUACUUGGUACAAUUACGU
This is a long non-coding RNA of Halichondria panicea, 1046 nucleotides long. RefSeq lists it as uncharacterized. The transcript has 6 exons. The record is from RefSeq and is a predicted model, not a curated record. Lineage: Eukaryota; Metazoa; Porifera; Demospongiae; Suberitida; Halichondriidae.